This 2116-nucleotide unclassified non-coding RNA is filed under the name Hevea brasiliensis (rubber tree). Lineage: Eukaryota; Viridiplantae; Streptophyta; Magnoliopsida; Malpighiales; Euphorbiaceae. The record is from RNAcentral.
UUUAUAAAGAGCAAUAUGUACAUUUUUUUUUGUAAGGAAGAAAGGACUUGAAGAUGACAUUAAAAAGUUGAGGGGUAAAUUAAAAGAAAUAAGUACUAAAUUGAAGUAAAUAAAAAAGUUUUAGGGUAGAAUGUAUAAGGGAGAUUAGGACCAUUGGAUAAAAACUUGUUUUAAUUAUUGGAUAAAAGAAGAUUUGGCCUCAUCUACCUCACCAUUCUGUUGCCCCAAUUGAAACCCUUUUCUCCCAUUUUUCUUUUAUCCCUCCAUAGCCAAACUCUCCCAAAUUGAAGAAGAAGAAGACUUAGAAUAUUAGCCUAGCUGAUUUCUACCUUAAACAUCAUCAAUUCAAGCCUUAGGAAGAAGAAGAAAACCAACUUUUGAAGAAGUUGAAGGUAGGCAUCUCCUUCUAGGAUUUUGAGUGGAAGAGUUAAAGAAAAGUGAAAUUAAGUGAUUCUACUAGAGGUUAGUGCUUAAACUCAUCCUUAUUGCCAUAUUUAUAUGUGUGAUUUCUUGUUAUUUGCUAAUUAGAUGAAAUUAGGGUUUGAGGGAUUGAAAUUUGAAAUCUGUGUUGGGUGAGGCUGCUGGAUAGCCACUUCCGAAAAUUCAUAACUUGAGCUAGGGAAGUCGAAAUGAGGUGAUUCUUGUGGAAAAUGAAACUUUGAAGAGUACCCUAAAACUUUGUAGUUUAGUGUUGGCCUUAAUUUUGAUGAUAGAAUAGAGUUUGAAGCCAAAAUAUAUAAUUGCUCAAUUUUAGAACUAGUAUGGCAGAUUCCAGCAAUAGGGACCCAAAUUUAAAAAUACAUAACUUGAGCUAGAAAACUCUAAAAAGGGUGAUUCUUACGACUUUGGAAAGAUUAAAGGGAGCUUUAAAACUUUGUAGUCAUGGUCAGGAAUUAAUUUUGCUGUUUUCCUAUUGGAAUUCAUACUUUUCUGUUGCUGUACACGGUAAAACAGAUUUCUGAACAGCUUGCAUACUUUUGCUUAUAUCUUGAGUUGUAAAAUAUAUUUUUACAUGAUUCCAAUUAGAAAUCAAAAUAGACAUAUGAAAGUUGAUUUCUGAAAAAUUUGGCAUUAAAAUUCCGUCUCUAUGAAUUUUGGUGGAAUUUUGAAUAUUACUAUUCACAUGGCCAGUUUUCUGCAGAAAGUGAUUUUUAAGCUACACACUUCUCAUGUAGGUUUGUUUGAGUAUUUCGCAUCAAAUUGUGGAAUAAACUUUGUUUGAAAUGAAUUAAGUUAAAUUUUGGCUAUAUAUGGCAAAUAUGAGCAUAUGAAAUAAGUACAUGAACUUGAUAAUUGUAAAAGAAUGUAAUAUGUAUUCUUAGUCCUAGUAAAUUUCGGUAGAGGUUGCAGGUUAGUAUAAGGUGUGGCAUGCCAUAUAACUUAGAAGUACUGCAACCACAAAAUAUAUGAUAUUGGCACAUGGUGCCCUACAGUUCUUGGCUUUUGAGCCCUACAGUUCUGGCACUCCGUGCCUUACAGUUAUAGUUUUUCCUUAUCUAGCUAAGCAAUCCUGCUAAGAGUUUAUAUGGGUUGAGAUAUAAGUAAUAUGAUGUAAAUUGAUUAAUAUUUGUCAUAUGAUACAUUUUCUUUAUCUCUUUAUAUCUUGUUCAUGAAUAUGUAUGGCUGUUAACAUUAUAGAAAUUGUUGUUUCAAUCUGCAUAUUAGUUUUAUGCUUGCAUAUUUUUCUUUUAUGGAUGCGUUUAGCACCACUAAGCAUAAGCUUAGCGCGUUGGAUUUUCCUGCGCAUUGGAUUUUUCUACACGCAGAUAGCAGAGAGCAGCCGCCAGUAGAGGGGCCACAGUAGUUUGCAUCAGCUGCGAAGCACAUAAGACAUUUUGAAAUUUUCUUUUCCAUUAAACCUAGGAAAAGUUGUAAAAUGUUGGCAUGUACAUUAGAAAUAGUUGAUGUAAUCAAGUAAAUCAUUUUAUAUCAAACUUUUUACUCUUUGUGUAAUGUAUAAUGUUUAUUGCAAACUUUAUCUUUAUAAUGAUUUAUUUUUAUUAUGGAUGGAUUUAAAAUGAUGUUAAACAUGGUUUGUUCUAUUGUUUAGAAAAUGUUUUAAAUAAAAUAUUAUGCAUUUCAACACAGUUUGUGGUAUUCCCGACUCAAAUUAUUA